Molecule: ribosomal RNA, 425 nt
Filed under: uncultured bacterium
Lineage: Bacteria
Description: partial 16S ribosomal RNA
Rfam family: Bacterial small subunit ribosomal RNA
Source: RNAcentral
GUUAGGAAUAUUGGACAAUGGGCGAAAGCCUGAUCCAGCCAUGCCGCGUGAACGAUGAAGGCCUUCGGGUUGUAAAGUUCUUUAGCCGAUGAUUAUAAUGACUGUAGUCGGAAAAUAAGCCCCGGCUAACUUCGUGCCAGCAGCCGCGGUAAUACGAAGGGGGCGAGCGUUAUUCGGAAUCACUGGGCGUAAAGCGUGCGUAGGCGGUCUCGUAAGUUAGGAGUGAAAGCCCAGGGCUCAACCUUGGAAUUGCUCUUAAAACUGCAAGGCUAGAAUCUCGGAGAGGAUAGUGGAAUUUCCAGUGUAGCAGUGAAAUGCGUAGAUAUUGGAAGGAACACCAGUGGCGUAAGCGGCUAUCUGGACGAGUAUUGACGCUGAGGCACGAAAGCGUGGGGAUCAAACAGGAUUAGAAACCCUGGUAGUCC